UGAGGUAGUAGGUUGUAUAGUUUGGGGGAUGGAGUAAAUCCUACCCAGGUGAUAACUAUACAGUCUAUUACCUUCC
This 76-nucleotide microRNA precursor is filed under the name Monopterus albus (swamp eel). RNAcentral describes it as "Mal-Let-7-P2b4b_pre stem-loop". It matches the Rfam family "let-7 microRNA precursor family", at positions 7 to 78 of the family's 84-position model. Rfam says of the family: This family represents the microRNAs (miRNA) let-7 and mir-98. let-7 was identified from a study of developmental timing in C. elegans, and was later shown to be part of a much larger class of non-coding RNAs termed miRNAs. Lineage: Eukaryota; Metazoa; Chordata; Actinopteri; Synbranchiformes; Synbranchidae. The record is from RNAcentral.